Molecule: ribosomal RNA, 274 nt
Filed under: uncultured bacterium
Lineage: Bacteria
Description: partial 16S ribosomal RNA
Rfam family: Bacterial small subunit ribosomal RNA
Source: RNAcentral
AUACGGAGGGUGCAAGCGUUACUUGGAAUCACUGGGCGUAAAGCGCGCGCAGGCGGCUAUUUAAGUUGGAUGUGAAAGCCUACGGCUCAACCGUAGAACUGCAUCCAAAACUAUUUAGCUAGAGUGUGGGAGAGGAAGAUGGAAUUAGUUGUGUAGGGGUAAAAUCCGUAGAGAUAACUAGGAAUACCAAAAGCGAAGGCAAUCUUCUGGAACACUACUGACGCUGAGGCGCGAAAGCGUGGGGAGCAAACGGGAUUAGAAACCCGAGUAGUCC